AUGUGUCUGACCGGAGCUCUACUCCGUAGUGUCCUGGUGGUUCUCUUAUUGGCCAGCUCUUGUGGUAAACGUAGAUGUAACUAUAAAGAAAUCCUGGGCUCCUACAGAGAGGUCAUCUUCGUUGAGCUUCAGAAUCUGAAUUUAACUGGCUCCAUUAAUACCUCCAAAGAGAGAGACCCCUGUCCCUCAGGAAAGGCUCGUCGCAUCCUGGUUUCCAUCUAUGGUAUGACACAGCAGACGCGGUGUCAAAGGGGUGGCAAGCAGCAGUCUGACCUGGAGAAGCCACUGGAGAGCAUGGAGCAGCUCAUCGUUCACAACUGCAGCCCUGAUUAUCUGGGGAGGAAAGCCUCGUGUUCGGCUGUCAAGAAAAUACGAGGAAAGAAGAGAAAGAGGAUCAGGUUGAUCAAAGUCAUCAAGGCGCUGAUCACUUGUUGGCAGAAACUUCAAAGUGUCUAUAUGCUAUAAGUAGAAAAACGUCGUGCUUCCUGGUUCAUGUAAGCCUGUGCUACUCUCUUAUGAAGACAUUCGGUGAACUUCCUGAAAGUUCACUUAAACAGAGGAUACUACAAAACUACAUGCAAUGUCAUGAAUGUUUACUCUUGUCAAGUUCUCAGUGUUUUGUGUCUUAAAACUACACCGGACUUUGUAUGUCAGCAUUGCUCCUUGUUUUAUGGAACAGUUUUAUAGUAACCACAGAUAAGCUAAAAAAAUAUCCACCAUGCAUUCAAAUUCUGUCAGAAUAUGCACAUUUUCCAAGGUGUCUCAUGUUUUAAUAAGCAUGUUUGUCUCUGUACGCUGUGUGUUAUACAUGAAUUUGUCUUCUGUCAUUUAUGUUUUCGGAGUAUAUGUAAUGCAAUAAAACAAACAUUUAAAGCAAUGCUAUGUAGAAAUGAUUGAUGUGAUUUUGGUGUCCACAAUAGCACGAGACCACUGUCUUGUGCCAUUCAUUACAUGAUAACAAGGUUAUAUUUUGAUGUAAACAUGUAUUUUCAUUAAGUUACAUAGUGCAGAAACAAGUGUUAGGAGGCGGGUUGACUGAGACAGAGAAACCCUAUAAGAAGACACGAUACCAUCAACAUGAUUUUG
This 1086-nucleotide long non-coding RNA is filed under the name Sparus aurata (gilthead seabream). Its description in RNAcentral is "lncRNA (ENSSAUG00010015971.1)". The record is from RNAcentral. Lineage: Eukaryota; Metazoa; Chordata; Actinopteri; Spariformes; Sparidae.